Molecule: ribosomal RNA, 1368 nt
Filed under: uncultured prokaryote
Description: partial 16S ribosomal RNA
Rfam family: Bacterial small subunit ribosomal RNA
Source: RNAcentral
AGAGUUUGAUCCUGGCUCAGAACAAACGCUGGCGGCGUGCCUAAUACAUGCAAGUCGAACGAGGAAAGGCCUUCGGGCCCGGUACUAGUGGCGCACGGGUGAGUAACGCGUGGAUAAUCUGCCCUCGAGUGGGGAAUAACUAGGCGAAAGUCUAGCUAAUACCGCAUAAGACCACAGUCCCUGAGGGGACAGGGGUCAAAGGCUUCGGCCGCUUGAGGAUGAGUCCGCGUAAGAUUAGCUUGAUGGUGAGGUAACGGCUCACCAUGGCUUCGAUCUUUAGCUGGUCUGAGAGGAUGAUCAGUCACACUGGAACUGAGACACGGUCCAGACUCCUACGGGAGGCAGCAGUAAGGAAUAUUGCGCAAUGGGGGAAACCCUGACGCAGCGACGCCGCGUGAGUGAUGAAGGACUUAGGUUUAAACUAUUAUCGGAUAAUACUCGGUAAUACUGACGGUACCCACAAAGGAAGCACCGGCUAACUCCGUGCCAGCAGCCGCGGUAAUACGGAGGGUGCAAGCGUUGUUCGGAAUUAUUGGGCGUAAAGCGCGUGUAGGCGGUUGUCUAAGUCUGAUGUGAAAGCCCGGGGCUCAACCCCGGAAGUGCAUUGGAAACUGGGCAACUUGAGUAUGGGAGAGGAAAGUGGAAUUCCGAGUGUAGGGGUGAAAUCCGUAGAUAUUCGGAGGAACACCAGUGGCGAAGGCGGCUUUCUGGACCAAUACUGACGCUGAGACGCGAAAGCGUGGGGAGCAAACAGGAUUAGAUCCCCUGGUAGUCCACGCCGUAAACGAUGGGUACUAGGUGUCGCGGGUAUUGACCCCUGCGGUGCCGCAGCUAACGCAUUAAGUACCCCGCCUGGGGCUUACGGCCGCAAGGCUAAAACUCAAAGGAAUUGACGGGGGCCAGCACAAGCGGUGGAGCAUGUGGUUUAAUUCGACGCAACGCGAAGAACCUUACCUGGGCUUGACAUCCCGAUCGUACCUUAUGGAAACAUUUGGGUCAGCUUGGCUGGAUCGGUGACAGGUGCUGCUGUCGUCAGCUCGUGUCGUGAGAUGUUGGGUUAAGUCCCGCAACGAGCGCAACCCCUAUCAUUAGUUGCCAGCAUUUAGUUGGGCACUCUAAUGAGACUGCCGGCGUUAAGUCGGAGGAAGGUGGGGAUGACGUCAAGUCCUCAUGGCCUUAAUGUCCAGGGCUACACACGUGCUACAAUGGCGGAUACAGAGGGUUGCGACACCGCGAGGUUUAGCUAAUCCCAGAAAGUCCGUCUAAGUUCGGAUCGAAGUCUGCAACUCGACUUCGUGAAGUUGGAAUCGCUAGUAAUCGUGGAUCAGAAUGCCACGGUGAAUACGUUCCCGGGCCUUGCACACACCG